Molecule: ribosomal RNA, 490 nt
Filed under: uncultured bacterium
Lineage: Bacteria
Description: bacterial SSU rRNA
Rfam family: Bacterial small subunit ribosomal RNA
Source: RNAcentral
AGAGUUUGAUCAUGGCUCAGAGUGAACGCUGGCGGCAGGCCUAAUACAUGCAAGUCGAACGGCAGCACAGCAGAGCUUGCUCUGUGGGUGGCGAGUGGCGGACGGGUGAGGAAUACAUGGGAAUCUGCCCAGUCGUGGGGGAUAACGUAGGGAAACUUACGCUAAUACCGCAUGCGCCCUUCGGGGGAAAGCCGGGGACCUUCGGGCCUGGCGCGAUUGGAUGGGCCCGCGGCCUAUCAGCUUGUUGGUGGGGUAAUGGCCUACCAAGGCGACGACGGGUAGCCGGCCUGAGAGGGUGACCGGCCACACUGGGACUGAGAUACGGCCCAGACUCCUACGGGAGGCAGCAGUGGGGAAUAUUGCACAAUGGGCGCAAGCCUGAUGCAGCGACGCCGCGUGAGGGAUGACGGCCUUCGGGUUGUAAACCUCUUUCAAUAGGGACGAAGCGCAAGUGACGGUACCUAUAGAAGAAGGACCGGCCAACUACGUG